GAUGAACGCUGGCGGCGUGCCUAAUACAUGCAAGUCGAGCGAACAGACGAGGAGCUUGCUCCUCUGACGUUAGCGGCGGACGGGUGGGUAACACGUGGAUAACCUACCUAUAAGACUGGGAUAACUUCGGGAAACCGGAGCUAAUACCGGAUAAUAUAUUGAACCGCAUGGUUCAAUAGUGAAAGACGGUUUUGCUGUCACUUAUAGAUGGAUCCGCGCCGCAUUAGCUAGUUGGUAAGGUAACGGCUUACCAAGGCAACGAUGCGUAACCGACCUGAGAGGGUGAUCGGCCACACUGGAACUGAGACACGGUCCAGACUCCUACGGGAGGCAGCAGUAGGGAAUCUUCCGCAAUGGGCGAAAGCCUGACGGAGCAACGCCGCGUGAGUGAUGAAGGUCUUCGGAUCGUAAAACUCUGUUAUUAGGGAAGAACAAAUGUGUAAGUAACUAUGCACGUCUUGACGGUACCUAAUCAGAAAGCCACGGCUAACUACGUG
RNAcentral lists this ribosomal RNA (497 nucleotides) under uncultured bacterium. RNAcentral's name for it is "partial 16S ribosomal RNA". It matches the Rfam family "Bacterial small subunit ribosomal RNA", at positions 28 to 507 of the family's 1533-position model. The record is from RNAcentral.